Long non-coding RNA from Homo sapiens (human), 884 nucleotides. NCBI's taxonomy places the organism in Eukaryota, Metazoa, Chordata, Mammalia, Primates, Hominidae. The record is from Ensembl.
AAUCAGACCUUUAAAAAGGGGACUAAGAGUCCAUGCCCAGGGAAUGGUUUCUCUCUCUUCCGCUGGACUUUAACAAGCAAGCACAUGACGGGCUUCAUCAGUCCUGGACGAGAAAGCUGAGAUGAAAAUAACUUGAGUCUUGGAUGAAAUCAGUGACCCUAUGAUAUCAUCACAUCUAGAGCUGACUCUAACUGGACUUCCAGCUAUAUAUUCAAGAAACAAGACCUGCAAACCCCUCUUUGCUGAUUCAAGUAUGCCUGGCGAAGAUCCACAAAGUAGAAGGCAGAAGGUCAGCUCAGUACCCAAGGCACUUCCUGUGGAAAGUUACUCACUUAAUCCCAAAGGCAAGACAAGGGCAACCCUUUAAUAUUCAUUUGGAAAAAUCAAAAAGGGAGAGUAGCAUAGAUAGGGUUGCUGAUCCAGUCAAGUCAAUACCAGGCUUCUCACACCUCUCCCAGUGCCUAUCCCAGAAGAUUGAGAACAAUGCUAGGAAGGUAAUUAAAUUGGGGUAGCUAACUCUUCAAGUCUAAUGCAAAUAUUUCCUUCAUUUAGCUGUUCACUUCAUUUGGUUUAAAUAAAGAUAAACCACAUCAAGAUACAAACAUCUAAACUCUUUUCUAAAAGACUCAAAGGAAGAAUACAUUUAUAGAAAAGUUUGGAAAGAUAACCAAAAACGAAGCCAUUCAACCUUUCAAUUAUAGCAGCCCAUAGCAUUGUUACGACUUUUGCGACUGACUACAUAACAAAAGGGGCUGUGUGGUGGAAGACCCUGGAUUUAAACCUGUUUGAUUAUAUCUCUGGAUGUAAAGUCUUUGACUGGAGGGAUAAUCUUUCUCUCCUCAGUAUUUUCCAGGGUCUUAAUAAAUAUCUGCUGAAUGAACAAA